GUGGGGAAUCUUCCGCAAUGGACGAAAGUCUGACGGAGCAACGCCGCGUGAACGAUGACGGCCUUCGGGUUGUAAAGUUCUGUUAUACGGGACGAAUGGUGCGACGGUCAAUACCCGUCGUAAGUGACGGUACCGUAAGAGAAAGCCACGGCUAACUACGUGCCAGCAGCCGCGGUAAUACGUAGGUGGCAAGCGUUGUCCGGAAUUAUUGGGCGUAAAGGGCGCGCAGGCGGCGUCGUAAGUCGGUCUUAAAAGUGCGGGGCUUAACCCCGUGAGGGGACCGAAACUGCGAUGCUAGAGUAUCGGAGAGGAAAGCGGAAUUCCUAGUGUAGCGGUGAAAUGCGUAGAUAUUAGGAGGAACACCAGUGGCGAAAGCGGCUUUCUGGACGACAACUGACGCUGAGGCGCGAAAGCCAGGGGAGCAAACGGGAUUAGAUACCCUUGUAGUCC
RNAcentral lists this ribosomal RNA (450 nucleotides) under uncultured bacterium. RNAcentral describes it as "partial 16S ribosomal RNA". It matches the Rfam family "Bacterial small subunit ribosomal RNA", at positions 354 to 796 of the family's 1533-position model. The record is from RNAcentral.